RNAcentral lists this ribosomal RNA (880 nucleotides) under Pseudocamarosporium sp. 2 PWC-2017. Its description in RNAcentral is "eukaryotic LSU rRNA". It matches the Rfam family "Eukaryotic large subunit ribosomal RNA", at positions 66 to 963 of the family's 3401-position model. Lineage: Eukaryota; Fungi; Ascomycota; Dothideomycetes; Pleosporales; Didymosphaeriaceae. The record is from RNAcentral.
CAACAGGGAUUGCCCUAGUAACGGCGAGUGAAGCGGCAACAGCUCAAAUUUGAAAUCUGGCUCUCUUUGGGGGUCCGAGUUGUAAUUUGCAGAGGAUGCUUUGGCAUUGGCGGCGGUCUAAGUUCCUUGGAACAGGACAUCGCAGAGGGUGAGAAUCCCGUACGUGGGCGCCUGCCUUUGCCGUGUAAAGCUCCUUCGACGAGUCGAGUUGUUUGGGAAUGCAGCUCUAAAUGGGAGGUAAAUUUCUUCUAAAGCUAAAUACCGGCCAGAGACCGAUAGCGCACAAGUAGAGUGAUCGAAAGAUGAAAAGUACUUUGGAAAGAGAGUCAAAAAGCACGUGAAAUUGUUGAAAGGGAAGCGCUUGCAGCCAGACUUGCCCGCAGUUGCUCACCUAGGCUUUGGCCUGGGGCACUCUUCUGCGGGCAGGCCAGCAUCAGUUUGGGCGGUUGGAUAAAGGCCUCUGUCACGUAUCUUCCUUCGGGAUGACCUUAUAGGGGAGGCGUAAUGCAACCAGCCCGGACUGAGGUCCGCGCAUCUGCUAGGAUGCUGGCGUAAUGGCUGUAAGCGGCCCGUCUUGAAACACGGACCAAGGAGUCUAACAUCUAUGCGAGUGUUUGGGUGUCAAGCCCGGGCGCGCAAUGAAAGUGAACGGAGGUGGGAACCCUUUGGGUGCACCAUCGACCGAUCCUGAUGUCUUCGGAUGGAUUUGAGUAAGAGCAUAGCUGUUGGGACCCGAAAGAUGGUGAACUAUGCUUGAAUAGGGUGAAGCCAGAGGAAACUCUGGUGGAGGCUCGCAGCGGUUCUGACGUGCAAAUCGAUCGUCAAAUUUGGGCAUAGGGGCGAAAGACUAAUCGAACCAUCUAGUAGCUGGUUCCUGCCG